UCUCCCCCGUAUGUCUUUCCUCAUCUUCUGUCACUGGUCUCUGCCCGUCUUGUUUUGCACCAAUCCCGCGUCACCCCCUGUGCUCUUCUCGAGCUGCCCAAAGGGCAGCUCCCCAUUGACCUCUUGACUGCUCUCUCACCUCUCUCUAGCAGCUCUCUUCAGCUGCCCCGAAGGGCAGCUCCUUUUCUCCUCCUCUUUCUCACUCCAAUCCUUCCCGUACUCCCCUCACGCUUCUUUCUGCCUUCCUUCUUUAUAUUUUCUUAACCUGCUCUCCAGCUGCCCACGUGGACUCAUUUGCACUGCCCUUUCUCUCUCUACUGUGUUGACCAAGCAGCAAUUCCAUCCUGUUUUCUUCACGCCGUCCCCCACUAAAUCCCUCUCUCCUAUUUUCUAUAUUCUAUUCGUUUCUCCCUCCUAUUAUUAUUAUCGCUGCACGUCUUUCACUCCAGCUUUUCCACUCUGUCCACUCUCCUCUCACUAUCCUUUUUCCGGUGCUGUACUUCCACUUCUUCUUUUUUUAUUUAUUUCUUAUUCUUGGAUUCUUUCUCCCUCCCGCUAUUUUCUAUUUUGACUCUGCCAGCAAAGCUCCCUUUUCACGCUGCUCGAAGGCAGCAUCCUCUUUCUUUCCAGCUGACACGCUCGUAUCCUUAUUCUCUCUCGAGGCUGCUUUUGUUUCCUUGGAUCCUUCUUUCUGCUGGUUUCUUUUAUUAUGUAGACAAGAGAGGGACAAAUCUUAUUUACACCAUUUAGCAAUUGUAAUAAUGACUUGUUUAUAAAAUAUAAAUUAGUAUUAUCAUAUGACAAUAAAAAGGGUAAAUUUGCAUAACAGAUCCUAUAAACAAAAAAAUAACGUAAAUAACUCAAAAAUAUAAGGAACUAACCAAGAAAAGACGAGUGAAUUCGAAGUAAAAAUAUAUAUAAAUAUGAUCCGAUCAAAUACCCCCACACUUAGCUUUUGCUAGUCCUCGAGCAAAACAAAGAAAACAAGAACAAGAAGUAACAAGAAAAACAUUAGCUUCCCUCUAUGUGACCCUCAUAGAAAUUCAUUUAAGAAAACAAAUCAUCAAGAACCAUAGCUAGCAUCAAGGAACUAAUCCAAGUUCAUCUUCCUUAUUCAAAUAUUAGCAGUAAUCUUUGAAUCAUCCUUGAAGUGUAGUGUGUGAGAUAGCCAUGCUAAUGCAAUUUCAAGUUUUUAUUUUUAAAAUCAUCAUAUGCAAACUAGUAAUCUUCUCACGGGAUAUGCAUUCAAUCACACAUGUGUUUAGUUUUAAUGUGUUUCACUCAAAGAAUCAAAUGUGAAAUUUCUACCAUAAGCUUGCAUAAAGAUCACUUCUCCACAGUCAUAAUUGCAAAACUUAAAUCAAGAGGACUUUUAUUGGACGUAAUGAGGUUUAGGGAGAGGGUCAUUGAAACGAAAGAAUAGGAAAACACAAGUUCCAAGCUACAUUGCAAGCAAUUCUUCUAUUUAGAUUUAUAAGAACUCAAUAUUUCCAACGAUUCUUUUAGCACCUCCAACCACACCCUUAAACUGAAAAUUGACAAACUUUUUAUUUCAUUUGUAUACAAUCUUUCUUCUUUUUUUUUUUUUUCUUUUUUUUUUUUUUUUUUUUUUUUUUUUUUUUUUUUUUUUUAUUUUAAAUACAAACAUGAAAUACCCCCACACUUAUUCUUUUGCCACACACCUUCAAAGCACUUCACAAACGUUUCUCAUAAGACAAUCUCGCAUUGCUCGCUUGGAAAGGGUAAGGAAAAAAUGGUUCAGGUAUAAGGGUAGACAUAUCUGGAAAUAAGAAAUAAAAGGCUCAACAUACACGGCUCAAAUUGGCAAUCUAAUGAUAUCAUUUUUCUUUGGGGAACAUAGUUAUUUGGGCCAUAGUGGUAAACCUAAUGCCUCUAUCAUUUCCAAGUUCAUGCAAUCAAUGACAAACAUUUCGAAAGAUCGUUACGCAAGUUCUAGAGAUGUAUCUCACAUAAGUUCAUCACACAUGAAAGAAUAGGAGUGUAUGAAAAAUGCACACUUUCAAUAGGCUCAAAAACUCACAUAGGAUGUAUAUGGUCACUAAAUUCACAUAUGAAGCUUUAAGUCAUACUUUAGUUUCACAUUAACAAGGCUAUGUGCAUUUGGUUUUUCAAAGAUGAUCAAACAUGUACAAAACUAACAAGAGAAUUAGGAAUUUCACCAAACACAUGUUAACUAAGUUCUUGAUGAUCAUGGUUCAAAUUUUUGAUCCAAUUAUAUCAUUGGGUCGGGAAACUAACAAAAAUCUGAUUCAGAACAAUAAGGGAAACAAGACAAUAUUCUUUGGAUUUCUAAAUUUUCCGAUUUUUUUUUUUUUUUUUUUUUUUUUUUUUUUUUUUAACUCUCUUUUUUUUUUUUUUUUUUUUUUUUUUUUUAAAAGAAAACAAAACUAAUUUAAGAACACCAAAAAAAAAACAACAACACAGAGACAAAUGACAUUCUGGAGAUUUUCUACCCCCCACACUUAAACUUGGACAUUGUCCCCCAAUGUCAGAAAACACUAUAAUGCAAAUAAAAAAAAAUAAAAUAAAAUAAAUAAAUAAUAAGAAACAAAAUAACGCAAUUGGACUGAAAACUUCCCUAAUUUGCAGUAAAAUCAAGCGAUGACCCCCAAGCAAAAAUUCUGCAAUCAACUUCAAGGGUGGAAAUAACCAAAAGUUCCUGCAAAGAAAGGAAAAAAAGUUAAGUACGCAAGAAAAUUAAUUAAAAAAAAUUGCAAACGAAAAAUUGAAAAUUACGAUAAAAGAUAAUGAAUAAAACUAAUAAGUAAUCAUUAUUGUAAAAUAUUUGCUUUUUUUUUAUGUAAUUUUUUUUUUUUUUUUUUUUUUUUUUUUUUUUUUUUUUUUUUUUUUUUAAUUAACAUUAAUUUUAAAUUUUAUCUUUUUUUUUUUUUUUAAUUUUUUUUUUUUUUUUAUAUGUAAAUUAAUGUAAAGAGACUUUGGUUAACCUUCCCCCACACUUAAACUAAAUAACACAAACUCACAGAAAUCAACCAAAUAACACAACUAACUAAACAAAACAAAAUGAAAGCAGUAAAAAUAAGGUGGAAGAAUGCAAAGCUGAUUGGGUUAGCGAUUCCAAAGCUUCCCUUCGUUGAAUGCUUGGGUUGCCUCCCAAGAAGCGCUUGAUUUAACGUCUUUAGCCGGACGCAUAUUUCCUUUAAAUUUCCCUCGGCUCCAUUUGAACCUCAAAUCAAAGAAAAAUAAAUCAAAUAUCAAAAGUAAAAUACACAAACACCAAUAUAAACAUAAACAAAAACAAAAAUAAAAGGAUUAGCAAAGUUACUAAUCCCCGGCAACGGCGCCAAAAUUUGAUGCGAAAUAUAUAAGCACACAAAAUUAAACCCUCUUUGUGACAAUUGUAGUAUAGAUGUAAGUAGGGUAUCGUUCUAGCCGGGGAUUAGGAGGGAUUGCUAAUCUAUUCUAAAUUAAUUCAAAAAAAUAUUAAAUAGAGACUCAAGGACACAAAAUUAGGCUAAAAACUCUAAUAACUCGAAACACACUUAAAAUGACUCAAAAUAAUGAAAACAAUUAAAUUAAACACUAGGAACUGAAAUGGACGGAAAUUAAAUUAAAAGACUAACAAUAAAGAAAACUAACUAAAUAAUAUAAUUUAAUAAUGGAUGGGUGUUUGGUUUUGAUGAAAAGUAAAUUAACUUAAUUAAAUUACAGAAUUGACAAAAACAUAAAAUUAAGGUAAAAUGAUAAAUGACGGACUAGCUAGAGGGUUCUUCUCCACACAUGACACAUAUGCAACCUAAAUUGAUUUCAGUUGUUCUUUCAAUAAAUUGUGAAUCUCAAUACUCCAGAUUAACCGUGAACAGCACUUUUUAAUCUUCAAGUUUUCCUUAAGUUAUUGAAUUGGACGGGAAAACGCAUACAACAAUUCAAAACAUUCUUCAAAAGUCCCCUACGUGAAAAGCACAAUAGAGAUACAAUCAAAGAUCAUUAAACUUUGUGAAAACAUAUAAGCAUUGACGAGGCAUUCGUAACUAUGAAAAGCAUGAUACUCUUGCCAAGAAUUUACUUAACGUGAUUGUGACUAGCAACCUUUACUACUUGUGAAAAUAAGUUCAUAAACGAUUAGGUGAAAUUCACUUAUAUUCUAGCAUCAAAUUCAUGCAUGUAAAUUAAGCGUGCACUCUCAACCAACAUACACAAAUCAGUUUUUAUACGAACGGAUAAGUAAAUUGAAAUCACAACUUAUGAAAUCACAACCGAAGGUAAUCAAUUCAUAUUACAAAUAUAUUCAUGGUUUCGACUUAACCUCUAGCCAAAAUAAAAUUUAAUUACACAUUAUUAAAACAAAAAAAAAUAGGAGUUUGGAAAGAUUAAACCGAAAGAAAAGGCUUCUGCUUUCUGUGCUCUGACCAACUCUUGCUGUGCUCUCCUCUCCAUUCCGUGGACUUGGCUUCUUCUCUCUGCUGUGCUGACCAACCUCUCUCCCCCGUAUGUCCUUUCCCUCAUCUUCUUGUCACUGGUCUCUGCCCGUCUUGUUUUGCACCAAUCCCGCGUCACCCCUUGUGCUCUUCUCGAGCUGCCCAAAGGCAGCUCCCCAAUUGACCUCUUGACUGCUCUCUCACCUCUCUCUAGCAGCUCUCUUCAGCUGCCCCGAAGGGCAGCUCCUUUUUCUCUCCUCUUUCUCACUCCAAUCCUUCCCGUACUCCCUCACGCUUCUUUCUGCCUUCUUCUUUAUAUUUUCUUAACCUGCUCUCCAGCUGCCCACGUGGACUCAUUUGCACUGCCCUUUCUCUCUCUACUGUGUUGACCAAGCAGCAAUUCCAUCCUGUUUUCUUCACGCCGUCCCCC
This 4827-nucleotide long non-coding RNA is filed under the name Malus domestica (apple). Its description in RNAcentral is "long non-coding RNA (MDOM_LNC021019)". The record is from RNAcentral. Lineage: Eukaryota; Viridiplantae; Streptophyta; Magnoliopsida; Rosales; Rosaceae.